AUCACUUCUCAGCCUUUUGGCUAAGAUCAAGUGUAGUAUCACAAAAGGAUUAGUAGUCAGGGCUAUGUUUAUUACAUAUAAAUUCGUAAAAGAAGGCAAUAGAUCAAUAUUUCUGUUCUUCCACUCAAUUCCACAUCAAUAGAAUGGAAGGAUAGCAA
RNAcentral lists this small nuclear RNA (158 nucleotides) under Fukomys damarensis (Damara mole-rat). Its description in RNAcentral is "U2 spliceosomal RNA". It matches the Rfam family "U2 spliceosomal RNA". From Rfam's summary of the family: U2 is a small nuclear RNA (snRNA) component of the spliceosome (involved in pre-mRNA splicing). Lineage: Eukaryota; Metazoa; Chordata; Mammalia; Rodentia; Bathyergidae. The record is from Rfam by way of RNAcentral.